UGCACCUUCACCUUGGUGUUACUGACCAUUUAAACCGUAAGAAGAAAAAGAUGGAUCUUCCUCUUUGUUGUAUGGCUUUGAUGUUUCAGGCCUGUAGGUUGCUUCCCUGCCAUACUGUCCCAACUCAUGUAUGUUUCUUACAUUUUGCCUGAAAAAUAACCA
This is a long non-coding RNA of Oryzias melastigma (Indian medaka), 162 nucleotides long. RefSeq lists it as uncharacterized. Lineage: Eukaryota; Metazoa; Chordata; Actinopteri; Beloniformes; Adrianichthyidae. The transcript is spliced from 2 exons. The record is from RefSeq and is a predicted model, not a curated record.